CUGGGAAGUGGACACACUCCCAGCUGAGAUGCCCAGGCAGAUGACAACACAAACCAGAGCAGCUUUCUUGGUGGAGCGCAGGGUGGGAGCCAUGAAAGGGUGCUGGAUAGCGAUGUAGCGGUCUACACAGAUGCAGAGGGAGAUGAGGAUGCUGCCGUACAUAUUUAUAAAGUAAAGACUCUCCAAAAUGGAACAAAACACAGACCCCAAUUUCCACUUGUUCUGAAGGUGAUAGGAAAUGAUUUUAAAAGGAAGAGUGAAGAGCAGCAAAGUAUCCAGGAAAAUAAGGGCUAUCAGGUAGACUGUAGAUUCUGACAACUUUUUAGCUGGAAAAAACAGGAAUGAGAGGGCCAUCACAUUGAACAGCAAUCCCAGGAUAAACGUGGGAGUGUACAUGAUCAGCUGGAACAGUUCUACUCUGGGGUUGAUACUGCUGUUGGUACAGGUGUCGUUCAUGUCUCCAGGUAUACUGAAAUUGAAGAAAAUCAUCUUCACCACAAGGGAGACUGAAAGACCACAUCUAAGAUCUGGUACAAUGGCCAGCAAGGUCUCCUGUCAUCAGGUGGACAGUGUAAGUUCCCGUUCUGCAGACCAAGCCAC
RNAcentral lists this long non-coding RNA (600 nucleotides) under Gallus gallus (chicken). Its description in RNAcentral is "long non-coding RNA NONGGAT009192". The record is from RNAcentral. Lineage: Eukaryota; Metazoa; Chordata; Aves; Galliformes; Phasianidae.